AACGAACGCUGGCGGCAUGCCUAACACAUGCAAGUCGAACGAGACCUUCGGGUCUAGUGGCGCACGGGUGAGUAACGCGUGGGAACCUGCCCUUAGGUUCGGAAUAACUCCCCGAAAGGGGUGCUAAUACCGGAUAAUGUCUUCGGACCAAAGAUUUAUCGCCUUUGGAUGGGCCCGCGUUGGAUUAGCUAGUUGGUAGGGUAAAAGCCUACCAAGGCGACGAUCCAUAGCUGGUCUGAGAGGAUGAUCAGCCACACUGGGACUGAGACACGGCCCAGACUCCUACGGGAAGCAGCAGUGGGGAAUAUUGGACAAUGGGCGAAAGCCUGAUCCAGCAAUGCCGCGUGAGUGAUGAAGGCCUUAGGGUUGUAAAGCUCUUUUACCCGGGAUGAUAAUGACAGUACCGGGAGAAUAAGCUCCGGCUAACUCCGUG
RNAcentral lists this ribosomal RNA (433 nucleotides) under uncultured bacterium. Its description in RNAcentral is "partial 16S ribosomal RNA". It matches the Rfam family "Bacterial small subunit ribosomal RNA", at positions 29 to 507 of the family's 1533-position model. The record is from RNAcentral.